This 363-nucleotide ribosomal RNA is filed under the name Ramalina sinensis. Its description in RNAcentral is "SSU rRNA". The record is from RNAcentral. Lineage: Eukaryota; Fungi; Ascomycota; Lecanoromycetes; Lecanorales; Ramalinaceae.
CUAACGGCUGAACCAGCAACUUGGAGGAAUGUAUAGCUACGGCUAAUUGUGUAUAACUACACGAUAUCGACUCUGUCGAAUAAAAUUCUGGAUAAAUUAUGAUAAUGACAUUUUUUACCCAUGUGUCUUGACCAAAUUGUGUGCCAGCAGUCGCGGUAAUACAUAGAAGACUAGUGUUAUUCAUCUUUAAUAGGUUUAAAGGGUACCUAGACGGUAGAUCAAGCCCUAGACGGGACUAAUUUGCUAGAGUUACUUAUGAGGGGGCUUUAAAGUACUAAUGGUGUAGAGAUAAAAUUUUGUAAUACCAUUUUUCGUAAAGAAAAGUUAUGGCACUGGUAAAGGUGAAAGCAUCCCCCUAUGUGA